UACGUAGGGCGCAAGCGUUAUCCGGAAUUAUUGGGCGUAAAGAGCUCGUAGGCGGUUUGUCGCGUCUGCCGUGAAAGUCCGGGGCUCAACUCCGGAUCUGCGGUGGGUACGGGCAGACUAGAGUGAUGUAGGGGAGACUGGAAUUCCUGGUGUAGCGGUGAAAUGCGCAGAUAUCAGGAGGAACACCGAUGGCGAAGGCAGGUCUCUGGGCAUUUCCUGACGCUGAGACGCGAAAGCGUGGGGAGCGAACCGG
This 253-nucleotide ribosomal RNA is filed under the name uncultured bacterium. RNAcentral describes it as "partial 16S ribosomal RNA". It matches the Rfam family "Bacterial small subunit ribosomal RNA", at positions 524 to 776 of the family's 1533-position model. The record is from RNAcentral.